This 253-nucleotide ribosomal RNA is filed under the name uncultured bacterium. RNAcentral describes it as "partial 16S ribosomal RNA". It matches the Rfam family "Bacterial small subunit ribosomal RNA", at positions 524 to 776 of the family's 1533-position model. The record is from RNAcentral.
UACGGAGGAUCCAAGCGUUAUCCGGAUUUAUUGGGUUUAAAGGGUGCGUAGGCGGCUUUUUAAGUCAGGGGUGAAAGACGGUGGCUCAACCAUCGCAGUGCCUUUGAUACUGAAGAGCUUGAUUAAACUUGAGGUAGGCGGAAUGUGACAAGUAGCGGUGAAAUGCAUAGAUAUGUCACAGAACACCGAUUGCGAAGGCAGCUUACUAAGGUUUGAAUGACGCUGAGGCACGAAAGCGUGGGGAUCAAACAGG